ACUAAAGGACAUGAAUUUUCAUAUUAAAAGGCUCAACAAGUAUCUGGCCUGUAUCAUAAAAUUUUAGAAUAAUGAGCAUAAAGAGGAGAUCCUACAAGCUUUUAUAGAGGAAAAAGAGGACAGGGGAAGACACCAAAUUCAAAACAUUAGGAAUUAGAGUGAUUUUAGACUUUUUGAAAGUAAUUUUGGAAGCUAGAAGGCAAUGGAGCAAUGCCUUCAAUAUACUGAAAGAAAAUUAUCUCUAACCUAGAAUUCUCUAUCUGGAUACUCAAGUGCAAGGGCAAGUUAAAGACUUCUCAGGCAAGAAAAUCUUCAAAAUAACAGGGAGCUACUGGAGAAUAUGGCCCUCCAAAGCUAGAGAGUACACCGGAAUAAAGGAAGACACAGGUGCAGGCAGUGUGAGCUCUAAGAGGAGGGAGAAGCAGAAGAGGCCACCACAGUGACUGUGGAGGAAGAUCUCAGGAUGGAGGGAGGCACAUCAAGCACGAGGACAAGCACAGACUGGAGCAGGACAAGAGGCUCCAGGAGAGACUUUCUCAGGCAAACAAAAUUUUAGAAUACCUGAUGAAGGUCAAAAAUCAAACACAACAAAGCAAGCCAUUGUUGAGCCGACAGGAAACAAAAAUUUCUACAGGAAAGAAAAAGGAGAACAAGUUUUUGCAUCCCCAGCUCUCGACAAUCUCCACAGAAGAUUGCUACCCUUUUAUUCGUCUGCAGCAAUGAAGGACAUAGAGGAACUUCAGUGUGGAUAACGUGGUAGAGUUUCCAACUGGGUGAACAUAGGGAGGGAUUUCAGAGUGGCCGCGGGAACCCUAGGGAACCGGAGUGUGGAACCAACAGGAAGUGGGCAGCGGCUCGCAGGCAGGCACAACACAGGAAAGAUAACAGAUGCAAAGCAAAAGAAAGAAAAUGCAAGCCCUAUAAGAACAUCCAGUGGCCUCCUGCUUCAUCUGUGUCUUCCUAAAGGGAUCCUCACUGGUGGAGUGUCAAAGACCUUGAGUUCUGAGUGUUGUAAAAAGGCAAUGAGGGAUGUAUUUUAAGCUGGAAGCGUGAUAAGGAAAGACGGAAUAAGUCCUCACAA
This is a non-coding RNA of Microcebus murinus (gray mouse lemur), 1081 nucleotides long. Lineage: Eukaryota; Metazoa; Chordata; Mammalia; Primates; Cheirogaleidae. The record is from RefSeq and is a predicted model, not a curated record.